This 5137-nucleotide unclassified non-coding RNA is filed under the name Polistes fuscatus (common paper wasp). RNAcentral describes it as "uncharacterized LOC122526068, transcript variant X5". The record is from RNAcentral. Lineage: Eukaryota; Metazoa; Arthropoda; Insecta; Hymenoptera; Vespidae.
GCAGCAGCAGUAGCACCACCACCACCACCACCCCCACUUUUAUUACUACCACCACUACCACCAUUACCACCGACUAGAAUCCUCGUCCCACCCCAGAAAGCUUCUCCCUCCCCCAAAAUAUGGUCGGAGGCGGUGACGGUGUUGGUGCUGUUGCUGCUGCUGCUGCUGGUGCUGGUGCUGCUGGUGCUGCUGGUGCUGGUGGCAGCGUUGCGCGGGUGCGCGCGGUGCUGCCUUAACAGCUAGAACGCUGCUGGACGACAGUGGUGCUGACUUUGGAGAGACUCGUCGAGCUGUCGAAGAAAAUCUUGCAAGCUCGUAAGAGCUCCACCGGAUGGCUCGACGUGUACUACUUCAUUGCUAAAAUAAUAAGCCGAGAAAAAGAGAGAGAAAGCACGCACGCGACAAAAAUCAAAAGAAACAGGGACAAUUAGAUGCAUAUUUGCAAACAAGGAAGAAAAUAGAAAAAAGCUCGUCGCUGUCGAGCGAUCUCGAAUGUAUGAGAGAGAGAGAAAGAGUGUGUAUAUGUGUGUGUGUGUGUGUGUGCAUGUGUGUGAGAGAGAGAGAGAGAGAGAGAGUGCCGGUCGAUAACGAGAUCCUUGUGCGAUUUCCUCAUCUAAGAAGAUAGAAGAAUAAAUGUUAAGGGCAAAGAAAGGAGUGUCUCGUCCUGGAUUAAAAGCUUUUAUAGUGUUCCUCGUGAUACCCAGUGCUAAAGUUUGAUUACCUUUAUCAUUGAAAAGAAUAGGAAGAAAAAUAAAAGGGGAGGAAGUAAGAAGUGAGAUAAAAAAAAUCUAGGGAACGUUGUCGAACAACAGAAGGUUGUCCAAGAAGGGAAGAGUCGGUAGGGUCUCUCUCUCUAUCCGUUUCUGGUUCCCAUCGGUUGUUUUUCCAAGCUCUGUCGCAACGACGGCGGUCGAUCCAGAGCUCGAGGAAGCGAGUGGAAGGGAGGAGGCCGAGGCGCAGGAGGAGCAGCAGCAGCAAGAGGAGGAGGAGGAGGAGUUGGCGGUGGUCGUGGUGGAGGAGGAGGAAGAGGAAGAGCUGAUUUCUACGUUCGAACGAGGAAGAUCGUGCUUCGUGCAUCUCCGCUGCGGAUCUCACGAUGACGGAUGGCUGUACGUGCGUUCUUCCCUCCUUUGAAACACGACUGACCAGCGACGGGGACGAACGGAACCACUUCUCUGUACCUUGAUACGAUCUCGUGGGCGUGCGGGGGUGACUGGAGUGAUGGGAUGGGGCCAGAGCCCCAUGGAGUUCGGGUAGACCCGUCUCCGGCCCAGCUCCCCAGCCCCCUCCGCCAUAAAUAUCGCCACUGCUCCUGCCAAAGACGCAGAGGGCCCCCAAGAUCGCGAUGGAGGCCUCUAGCAAUCAACAACUACAACAAAAAGAGAAGGAGUCACGUGUUCACAGGCCUUACGCCUUCGAUAAGAUGGAGGGGCUGGUGCGGGAGAUGCAAGACCCUCAAAACGGGGUACCCGUGCGCAGCCAAAAACAAUUUCUCACCUUGAUCCCCUCAGCGUUCAUGGGUGAGUGCCAUCGGUACUUGCGUUGUGGCAUAAACGUAAGCGGCCAUCACGGCCAAGAGAGUACAGUAGACUGCCUGCGUGUUGCAGGUUACGACCUCGUCGAGUGGCUUAUGGAUCGGCUUUCCAUCGAGGAAUCAGUAGAGGCGCUCCAUAUUGCUAAUCAACUAUGCCAGUAUGGUUACUUCUUCCCGGUGAACGACUCCAAGACGCUUACCGUUAAGGAUGAUAGCUCGCUAUAUAGAUUUCAGUCACCGUAUUAUUGGCCAUGGCAACAUAGAAAUCCUGACAACGUGGAAUACGCUAUUUAUUUGGCUAAACGAACAUUACGGAACAAACAACGGCACGCUCUUGAAGAUUACGAAACCGAAGCAUUAAACAGUCUACGGAAGAACCUGCAAAAUAAAUGGGAUAUUAUACAACUACAGGCUGAGGAACAGGCUCAGGUACGAUUAGCUAAAGACCGGAAGAAGGGGGAUAAGAUAGUAAGCGAUUCACAGGAAAGAGCAUUUUGGAGAGUUUAUCGGCCACCACCUGGUUGUCUUAGCAGUCUUGAAGUAGUUCCAGGACCGACACGUUUUCGUCCAGGACUUCCACGUCCUCCGCCACGUAAACGAACCGUCGCUGAAUUACAACGAGAGGUGGACUUUCUUCGAAACAGUUUAACACGCACGAGAAUCAAGGUUUCAGCUGCUAUAGAAAAUUUGAAGUCAUAUUUUGAAACUUACGUGGAAUACGACCCGAUGUUCGUACAUCCGCUACCUUCGAAUCCGUGGAUCACAGAUGACAGUACAUUCUGGCAGUUGAAUAGUCCAGUAGUGGAAGUCCCCACGGAAAAGCGUGUCAAACGAUGGGAAUUAUCGAUGGAAGAACUCAUGUCUGAUCCAACAGGCUUGCUAGAAUUCACGAAUUAUUUGAGGAAAGAAUACAGUCACGAGAAUAUUCGUUUUUGGUUGGCCGUUAAAGAUUUGAGACACAGUUACCAAGCUCAAAUAACGGAAAAGGUUAACGACAUUUUCAGAGAAUUCCUGGCUCCGGGUGCUCCUUGCGAGAUCAACAUAGAUGGAAAGACAAUGGAAAAGGUCCAUCAAGAGAUGAGAAAUCCCAGCAGAUUUACCUUCGAUUCAGCCGCCGAGCAUGUAUAUACUUUACUUCUGAAGAAGGAUUGUUACCCCAGAUUUAUUCGCUCGGAUCAAUAUCGAAAUCUUUUAGCGGCCGGUGUACAGCCAUUGCAAAAGAAAAGAUUCUUCAGCUUCGGUGGCCAAGCAAAAAAGAAAAUGGCGUCUAGCGCGAGUACAACGACGAGCACGUUGCAACAACAACAACAACAACAACAUGGUGGCAAUCUAGGAAGCAGUGGAGGUGGUACUGGUGGUAGUGCUAGUAGUGGUGUUGGUGGUGUUGGUAGUGGUGGUAGUGGUGCUGGUGGUGGUAGAAGAAGAGGAAGCGAUCGAAGCCUCUCGGGAUCAGCUCACGAACUUGCCGUUUGUGGAGUUCGUGAAAUAAGUUCAACGCCGAGAGUCCCGCAUUCUCAUAGCCAAUCAAAUCUCACCGAAAUUCCAUACAGGGGUGAUCUGGCGCGACUCCUAAAGAUCCCUACGAGGCCUAGUCCACAUAGUAUUCAGGAUGCUGGCGCCACGGAGGCGACGGUUCGCCCUAUGGACGACGUUUGCCCUUGGGACGCGAUUCCAGGGCCAAGUACAGAAGCCGGGCCGGAUGCGGCACCGUUUGGAACGAGCCCGUGGCCUGACACGACCCAGGAAUCCUGGGAAUACGGGAACGACGUUACCAAAACGUCCAUACAUUUUAUCGACGUGGCUCGACCAUCUCGAAAGAAUUCUUCGCAAUUGGAUUCAUGCAGUUCCUCUUCCGAUGUCAGUCUUGCUAUAGCCGAAGUUUCGGACAGGUUGAGAAAGUCCUGCAGUCUUCAGCACAGUGCUGUCCCAAGUGCCAGGAUGGAACGGCAUGGUAUCGGUUCUGGAUCGGGUGGACAUACCAUCACCAGAAAUUAUUCGACUGGUUCAACUAGCAACAGAGUCAAACUCUCGGACAUUGGUCGGCCAUUAGCCACGUCAUGCAACUUACCAUCGCCUCGGGAAUCCUUCGAGUAUAGCCACGCAGCUGGUGAGAAGUUCGAGACGAUAAUAUCCGAGGCAACGAUCGAGGAACCAGAAACAUUAAUUAUAACGACAACGACGACUACUGCAUCGUUAGAAACAACGCAACAAAUGGACAAAGUUGUAACGAUAGAGGAAACAAAAAAAGGUACGAGAAGGUUAUCAACGAAAGCACCGUUGAUAAGCAUCAGUGCGAUCGUCGGCGACUUGCCAAGUGAUUCCGAGGGUGUUGGAACAACGACUGGCGACGUUUGUACGCCAUCCAAAGAAACUUUAAUGGAAAUUGAAUUGGAGGAAGAGAAAGAGAGAAAGGAAAAGGAAAAGGACAAACAAAAGGAAACUGAGAAGGAGGAAGAAGGGCAAACGGAAAAGGAAAAAGAUAAAGAAGAAGAAGAAGAAGAAGAAAGAGGAGGAGGAGAAGGAGAAGGAGAAGAAGCGUUGUUGGAAAAGGACGAUGUUGAAAAAGUAACCAAGGAAGUUGGUGCCGAAACGCAAAAGGAUGAGCCCACUGAGGAAGCUCAGGUUGUUCCUGUUUGGGAGCCGGACACCCAACAGGAAGACCAAACGGCACCAACUACCACCGCUACGACUACCAGCACUGUGCCCACUCGGGAUAAGCGUGACAAUAAUGUUAACGAAGUGUGCCCGUGGGAGGACGAGUAUAAUUUCUCGUAGAGGCGUAGAAUCGAAGACUGAAAUGGAAGACGAGACGCGUUAUAGUUGAAGGGAGAACUGUAGAGUGGAUACAACCUAUGUAAAAACGUAUGCGACAUUAGGUUAUUUGUAACUUAGCGUUAAAAGCGCUCUGAUAUUUGCAUUUUACACUUUAAAAAACACACAUUCGUAAAUCCGAUUAACAAUUUUUCUUCACUUCGCUGAUCUCGAGUGCAUGAACUUUCUCGUGUGGUUUGUUCGAAAUUCGAUAAGAUUUGUCGUUAAAACUGGUUAUCGAAUGAUCAAGAAAAAUGUUUAGAUAUCGGUCAAACAGAUUUGAUGAUCCAUGCACCAUCGGUAAAAUAGAUUCGCGUGAUCUUCGAAUUGUCGUAUUCGAGUUUUAAGAUUCGAAUAAACGUUCGAAUACGUUCGAUCUACGAAUAGAAAUAUGAUUACUAUAUAAACGAUCGUUGAUUAAUUAAUGAUAUUCUUUUUCAAUUAAAAUAAAUUAAUAGAAAUUGAUAUAUGGCCUAAAAUUUUGAUUUAUCGAUACGAUUACCGACCGAGCCAUUACAGCCAUUUUGUUUUUUUCUCUUUUUAAAAUAAGCCGAGGUAUUAUAAUUAAUUUUCAUAUAUUUUCUAUUUAUAAUUAAUGACGAUUAUAUGAAAUAAACGAGAAGUUGUUGUCACGUAAAGCGUAUUAGAAUAUGCAGUAGUGGUGCGUAAUGCAAAAUGUCUCUGUGUCGAAUAAAAAAGAACAAAAAAAAAAAAAGAAGAAAAAUAUUAAUCGAAAAUAAUUUCCAUGAUAUCGUUCGUUAAGCAUCGAAUAAAGCGAUAAAUUAUAUUCGA